GAUAAGAAAACCACAUCUUACAAGUUACAACACUCUUAUAAAUAGAGAGUGAACCUAAAAUAUCCAUUAAAGCAGAAGAAUUUAGAGGAGAUGAAGAUGAUGAUGAUUAAGAGUGUAUUGAUCGCAUGCAUCACACUUCUUCUACUCACUGCCUUAACCGAAGUGACUGACGCAGCUCGACGAACGCCACAUAGAUCUAAAGCCGUUGCUACUGAUAGUGUAGCUUACCCUCAAGAAUGUCCAUGUUGCCAGUGGGGAUAUAGCGGUUACCCGAAUAAGUACUACCUCUGCCAGAAGAUAUGCUGCAAGACUUGAUUCAACAAGGAAAGUCCUCAUGCAUGCAUAAGCCACCGAAACGCACAUGUACUCUUCUAGUCAGUAUUGUACGUAGUAUGGUUAAGUUGUUGUUGGUGAUGUUACUUUGCUCUUUGUGGAUGUAUCAAACUAUCUACCACUAAAUAAAGUUUGGUGCUUAUGUUUUAUUUC
Long non-coding RNA from Papaver somniferum (opium poppy), 486 nucleotides. RefSeq lists it as uncharacterized. The transcript is spliced from 2 exons. NCBI's taxonomy places the organism in Eukaryota, Viridiplantae, Streptophyta, Magnoliopsida, Ranunculales, Papaveraceae. The record is from RefSeq and is a predicted model, not a curated record.